RNAcentral lists this ribosomal RNA (1027 nucleotides) under uncultured Rheinheimera sp. RNAcentral describes it as "bacterial SSU rRNA". It matches the Rfam family "Bacterial small subunit ribosomal RNA", at positions 482 to 1501 of the family's 1533-position model. The record is from RNAcentral. Lineage: Bacteria; Pseudomonadati; Pseudomonadota; Gammaproteobacteria; Chromatiales; Chromatiaceae.
CAGAAGAAGCACCGGCUAACUCUGUGCCACCAGCCGCGGUAAUACAGAGGGUGCAAGCGUUAAUCGGAAUUACUGGGCGUAAAGCGCACGUAGGCGGUUUUUUAAGUCAGAUGUGAAAGCCCCGGGCUCAACCUGGGAAUUGCAUUUGAAACUGGAAAACUAGAGUGUGUGAGAGGGGGGUAGAAUUCCAAGUGUAGCGGUGAAAUGCGUAGUUGGAGGNAGANGGAAUACCAGUGGGCGAAGGCGGCCCCCUGGCACAACACUGACGCUCAGGUGCGAAAGCGUGGGGAGCANACAUGAUUAGAUACCCUGGUAGUCCACGCCGUAAACGAUGUCUNCUAGCUGUUCGUGACCUUGUGUCGUGAGUAGCGCAGCUAACGCACUAAGUAGACCGCCUGGGGAGUACGGUNCGNCNAAGAUUAAAACUCAAAUGAAUUGACGGGGGCCCGCACAAGCGGUGGAGCAUGUGGUUUAAUUCGACGCAACGCGAAGAACCUUACCUACUCUUGACAUCCAGAGAAGACUGCAGAGAUGCGGUUGUGCCUUCGGGAACUCUGAGACAGGUGCUGCAUGGCUGUCGUCAGCUCGUGUUGUGAAAUGUUGGGUUAAGUCCCGCAACGAGCGCAACCCUUAUCCUUAGUUGCCAGCACGUAAUGGUGGGAACUCUAGGGAGACUGCCGGUGAUAAACCGGAGGAAGGUGGGGACGACGUCAAGUCAUCAUGGCCCUUACGAGUAGGGCUACACACGUGCUACAAUGGUAUGUACAGAGGGAGGCAAGCUGGCGACAGUGAGCGGAUCUCUUAAAGCAUAUCGUAGUCCGGAUCGCAGUCUGCAACUCGACUGCGUGAAGUCGGAAUCGCUAGUAAUCGCAAAUCAGAAUGUUGCGGUGAAUACGUUCCCGGGCCUUGUACACACCGCCCGUCACACCAUGGGAGUGGGUUGCAAAAGAAGUAGGUAGCUUAACCUUCGGGAGGGCGCUUACCACUUUGUGAUUCAUGACUGGGGUGAAGUCGUAACAAGGUAACC